GCUUUAGAGAUUUUUAAAGAGUUUUUGAGAAGUCACAAAGUGAGGGCCGAGAGUAUGCUCAGAUGAUUCAGUGAUUAAUUCAUUUUCAGUUUUCAGGUACCGAGGAUAAGCUUGGACUGCUAGUUGCGGGAUUAGGUGGAAGAGUAGGAGUUGAGGAAUUAAUUUAUUUAUUUUGAGAGAUGUUGUAUUCAUUUUUGUGGAAUUGAUUCUGCUUCAAUAAAAUGGUAUUUUCUUUUAAGAUCUUGGGUGUAAAUUGAAGUAUUUUGAUUUGAAAAAAUCGAGGAUUUUAUUCAGAAAAAAUUCGGGGCGUUACAGAAUGGUAUCAAAGCCUGUACCCAGCCGGAAGUGUGAGUGUAGUGAUGUUGUAGCUAGACGGGUGUGAGUGGGCGAGUGUUUAAUUCUGAUUUGCUACCGCUCGUAGCCUAGUGUGUGUGGGCGGGUGUCGUUCACUGAUAGCUACUGGGAUGGUCAAUAAUUGUGAUUCAGCAUGUGGUAUUGCCUUUUUUAUUAUUGGUCUUAUUUUGUGGGUAGGUGACGGCAUCGACUAGCUACCACAAUGGUUACAGAGUGUGUGGGCGGGUAACUAGCACUGUCAGCUACCACAACGUUUUGUAUGUCACAGUAUCUCGCAUCGCCUGGAGUAAGGAUUUUUGGAUUUUGUUUUGCCACUUUUGAGGUUUUCGGGUAUGCGAAAAUUGUUGGGCCUGAAUUUCGGGAUGAAAUUCUUUUUAAGUGGUGGAGAAUGUGACAAUCCGAAUUUUUUUAGAGUUUUAAUUAUAUUUAUUUCAUUAUUAUUUUUGUAUCAUUAGAGACUUUCCAAUUGAAGAUUGAAUUUUAAUUUUUAUUGGAGACUUACUCAAUUGGAGGUUGAGCUAUGAUGUUCAAUUUAUAAAAAAAUUGAUUUUUGGGUUAUUAGUAUUUUGUGCCUUUUGGAUUUGCUUUUAAUAAAUUAGUUUUAUUUUUAUUAAGUUAAUGGAUUUUUGGUGAUGGCGAAAUGAAGAAGGAAUGGAAAUGGGUAUCUGAUUAAAUUAUUAAUUUUUAUUUUGAGAUUAGUAAAGGAGUAGUUUGGUUAUUUUAUGUAUAUUGUAUAUACAUUGGUGAUGGAAGGAAGACAAAUAUAAAUAUAAUGGAUGGAGAUAAGAGGAUGGCAGGUGCCAAAUUGAAGGAAGAGAAAUGGGUUUUGUUUUGGAAAGUUUUGGUUGCAUUAUAUAUAUAUAUAUAUAUAUAUAUAUAUGGCAUCAGAUGAAGAAGCAAAUGGGCUUGGCCGAAAUAAAAGAGAAAGAAAAAAAGAAAAAGAAAAGAAUAAAUGGUGAUGUGCUAGUGGGACCCACUUAAGAUAUUAUGGGGUUGAAAUGGUUUAGUUGCAUAUUAUGCAUAUAUAUAUAUAUAUUACAUAUAUAUUUUUAUUAUGUCUGAUAGAAAUGUGGUUGACGAAAAUUUGUGGGAAAAGUAAUGAAAUGGUGAUGUGAAGUGGCGGGACCCACUUAUUGAUUUGUUUUGCAACUUUCUUUGACUUUAGGGCCUUGUUUACAGAAUAAGAUUGUGAUUGUGUGCGGUAUGUGUGAUGAUACAGAUGAAUUAAAGAUAAGGGAGCAGCGAUGUGGUGGGUUGCCGAAAGUAAGAAAGAAAUGAUUGUAAUGAUAAAAGUGUGGGUUCCACUUGAGAACUAAUUGUUUGAUAUUUUUGGUGAGCUGUUUGCACUUUGUCGGCACAAAUUGUCUAUUUAUUGGGUGUUUGUUGUGCAAUGAGGUAUUCAAAGACAAUAUUAGAGUAUUAGAGAUUUUUAGAGAGUUUUUGAGAAGUCACAAGGUGAGGGCCGAGAGUAUGCUCAGAUAAUUCAGUGAUUAAUUCAUUUUCAGUUUUCAGGUACUGAGGAUAAGCUUGGAUUGCUAGUUGCGGGAUUAGGUGGAAGAGUAGGAGUUGAGGAAUUAAUUUAUUUAUUUUGAGAGAUGUUGUAUUCAUUUUUUUGGCAUUGAUUCUGCUUUAAUAAAAUGGUAUUUUCUUUUGA
Molecule: long non-coding RNA, 2008 nt
Organism: Cornus florida
Lineage: Eukaryota; Viridiplantae; Streptophyta; Magnoliopsida; Cornales; Cornaceae
Exons: 3
Source: RefSeq, a predicted model, not a curated record